RNAcentral lists this ribosomal RNA (301 nucleotides) under uncultured bacterium. Its description in RNAcentral is "partial 16S ribosomal RNA". It matches the Rfam family "Bacterial small subunit ribosomal RNA", at positions 509 to 807 of the family's 1533-position model. The record is from RNAcentral.
CAGUCGCCACGGGAAUACGGAGGGUGCAAGCGUUAAUCGGAAUUACUGGGCGUAAAGCGCACGCAGGCGGUCUGACAAGUCAGAUGUGAAAUCCCCGGGCUUAACCUGGGAACUGCAUUUGAAACUGUCAGGCUGGAGUCUUGUAGAGGGGGGUAGAAUUCCAGGUGUAGCGGUGAAAUGCGUAGAGAUCUGGAGGAAUACCGGUGGCGAAGGCGGCCCCCUGGACAAAGACUGACGCUCAGGUGCGAAAGCGUGGGGAGCAAACAGGAUUAGAUACCCCGGUAGUCCCUGUCUCUUAUAC